Long non-coding RNA from Apis florea (little honeybee), 612 nucleotides. The record is from RefSeq and is a predicted model, not a curated record. Lineage: Eukaryota; Metazoa; Arthropoda; Insecta; Hymenoptera; Apidae.
CUGUAAGCAGAAAAGAAUUAAAAAAAUACUUAUAAAAAUAUCUAUAUGAAAUUAAUGAUAUAUAUAUGGGAAUAUUAAGAACAGAAUAUUGUGGCAUGGCACAGAUACAUUUUAAAGCACAUUUGUCAUUCAUCUUUGGUAUAAAAAAAUGUGUACAAAUUUAUUACGUAAAUUAAAGGACAGAGUAAGGCACACAUACACACUCAACAAUGUUUAAGGCCCGAUUUUACUGUCCUCUAAAAGAACAUUAUACAUUGUGUGCUAUGUAUCUGUGUACCAUGGUGAAUUUCAUGAAUGAAACUAACCUUAUAGAAAUUUGCACUACUAAUUAAUAAUAUUUUUUUUCCUCUCAAUUUUCGCUCUAUUUUCAUGUCAAACGUCUGUUGAUUUGUGCAGUACAUUUAAACGCAUCUGUGCCAGCAUAUAAUGAGGUUGUGAAGGAACUGAACUUUGGGCUACAUUUCCUCCUGAUUGUUGACUUACAUCUUGUAUCGAACCAUCACUUUGUGCUGGUGUUGCUGUUGAACUAUUCUCCAUAUUACUCAUCUAAAAUUAAUUAAAUUAUGAUUUUAUAUCUUAAUAUUAUAUAUAAACAAUAUAAUAACAUUAUAU